CGAACGAACUCUGGUAUUGAUUGGUGCUUGCAUCAUGAUUUACAUUUGAGUGAGUGGCGAACUGGUGAGUAACACGUGGGAAACCUGCCCAGAAGCGGGGGAUAACACCUGGAAACAGAUGCUAAUACCGCAUAACAACUUGGACCGCAUGGUCCGAGCUUGAAAGAUGGCUUCGGCUAUCACUUUUGGAUGGUCCCGCGGCGUAUUAGCUAGAUGGUGGGGUAACGGCUCACCAUGGCAAUGAUACGUAGCCGACCUGAGAGGGUAAUCGGCCACAUUGGGACUGAGACACGGCCCAAACUCCUACGGGAGGCAGCAGUAGGGAAUCUUCCACAAUGGACGAAAGUCUGAUGGAGCAACGCCGCGUGAGUGAAGAAGGGUUUCGGCUCGUAAAACUCUGUUGUUAAAGAAGAACAUAUCUGAGAGUAACUGUUCAGGUAUUGACGGUAUUUAACCAGAAAGCCACGGCUAACUACGUGCCAGCAGCCGCGGUAAUACGUAGGUGGCAAGCGUUGUCCGGAUUUAUUGGGCGUAAAGCGAGCGCAGGCGGUUUUUUAAGUCUGAUGUGAAAGCCUUCGGCUCAACCGAAGAAGUGCAUCGGAAACUGGGAAACUUGAGUGCAGAAGAGGACAGUGGAACUCCAUGUGUAGCGGUGAAAUGCGUAGAUAUAUGGAAGAACACCAGUGGCGAAGGCGGCUGUCUGGUCUGUAACUGACGCUGAGGCUCGAAAGUAUGGGUAGCAAACAGGAUUAGAUACCCUGGUAGUCCAUACCGUAAACGAUGAAUGCUAAGUGUUGGAGGGUUUCCGCCCUUCAGUGCUGCAGCUAACGCA
RNAcentral lists this ribosomal RNA (832 nucleotides) under Lactiplantibacillus plantarum. Its description in RNAcentral is "bacterial SSU rRNA". It matches the Rfam family "Bacterial small subunit ribosomal RNA", at positions 63 to 859 of the family's 1533-position model. Lineage: Bacteria; Bacillati; Bacillota; Bacilli; Lactobacillales; Lactobacillaceae. The record is from RNAcentral.